Molecule: long non-coding RNA, 4269 nt
Filed under: Sus scrofa (pig)
Lineage: Eukaryota; Metazoa; Chordata; Mammalia; Artiodactyla; Suidae
Description: lncRNA (ENSSSCG00000042653.1, ENSSSCG00190021439.1)
Source: RNAcentral
CACUAGGUUUUGCACUCUGCCUUAUUUGUUUUCUUAAGCCUUAUUCAUACCUUUGUAAAUAGUCCCUAUACUUAACUCUUCAAAUACCUAGUUAGAGUGAAAAAUUGAUUAUUGCCAGUACCCUUUCUGACAAUAUCUAUAACAGUAUUUUAUUUUUCUUCAUUGCUGACAAAGCUCUAAUUUUUUUUAAGUCUCCACCUUCUUCCCUACAGGUCUCUGCUCAGAGAAGUCAACCAUUUUCCUCAACAUCAUAAUCAUUACUAAUUACUCCACACCAAACAUAUUAAAUUCCAUUCAAUGUGUCAGUAAUUGGAUUGGGGGGUUAUUAAUAUGAUAUGAAGGGAGAUCUAAUAAGGGCUUCUAAUAAAGCUCUCAUGAACCUAAAAAAAACCCCAAAAAACAAAAAACCCACAAAUGAUGGGUCAGAACAUUGUAAAGUCUGACUGGAUGUGUGUGUGAUGGACAUGAUGGGAGCUGAAUUUGGUGCUAUACCAUCACACUAAUAUGGCACAGCAGGAACCUGGUCCUUUAAAGAUUUAAAUAAGCUAACAAAUCUAUCAGCCUUAGGAUUCCUCUCUCUUAUGUAUAUGUUCUGGGAUAUUAUAAAUUUUCUUCUCAGUAUUUAACUCAUUUUGAGUUGGUUCUCUCUUAUUUGUAGCUGAAGGAGAAACCAGAAGGGAACAUUUAGUGUUUAAAGCUCUCUGUUCAAAUUUUAAAAAUUAAUAUUUAUUUAUCAUUUAUAUACUUGUAAACACACCUUUUUAAAAAAAGAGGUGAGAGCAACUAGACCCUGGAAACCAAGACUAUUGGAAAUUUCAGUAGAUCAUGAAGUGCUCAGUAGUGGUAAUUAUGUAUUUUUGGGCCAAUAAAUCCUUGGACUUAUGAUAUUCUUAUAUCAUCAGACACUUAAUAAAUAUAUGCUAAAUGUAGAUUCGGAAGUUAGAAUGACAUACUCAAGGCUUAUAAUCAGGGAGUUAGGUUAUAUUAUGUUUUAGACACUCAGAAAGCAGCUGUAACAUCAGCUAGAGAAUGAGGGCAUACUCUCCCCCCUGCACCUCAGCUAGUACAGGGGGAAAGAACAUGUGUCUUUUUUCACCAAAUCUCAUGAGAUUCACUUAGAUUAAAGUUAACUCUAUUGCAAAAUAGAGGUUAACACUGGAUCUUGUGCCCUUUGGUCACACAAUAUAGAUUUGUGGAAGCCUGAAUGUAUCAUGAGUUUCUACAAUAAGAACUCCUGUAGUAAAAGGAAAAACCUCCUAAAUCCCUGGAGAUGUGCAGCUGGAUUAAGAUAUAGUGGCAUUAGCAGAUAUUUUUCUAGCUCUGUUUCAACACAAAAUGUACUAAAAACAUUAUUUAUAUAUGGAGUUCUGGUAUAUGAAAAUAUUGGUAUACUUAAAAAUAUAACCCCACAAUAAAUUCAUACCAUGUAAAACUAAUCUACAAAUCACCAGAAACAUUAUAUUAUUAUAUAUUAUAUUUUUGUUUGCCCUCUUAGAACUUAGAUUUUCAGGGAUAUUUUCAAAAUCUAUUACUUAAAAAAAAACAGAGGAUUGCAUUAUUUUACAGUAAGCUUAGAUAUUCAAAAUUAUUCUUCUGAAAAAUUUUUGAAUAAUAAGCAUUGUGGCAAUCCAAUGUUUAAAGGCAGUGCUAGAGAUUAUAAUAGUAAUUUGAGAAAGCAGUUAUAUCUUACAAUGUGUACCUCUUUAUCAUAGCCUUUCCCACUCCUCUAUCUACUGUCCCCUCCCCAAUUUAAAGGCAGAAUGGAAAGGAAAUAGUAAUGUGUAUGUCCUAAAAGGCCACAAGAAUGACCAGGACUGCAGAGUAAAGGCAGGAGGAAGCAGUCUUCAGCACUUACUGUAGUGAAGGUUUGGGGAAGGAUGGAUCAUGAACUAAUUGGCCUCAGAAUAUUCACACCAGCUAUUGGAGCCCUUUUCUUGAUCAUUGCUACAGGGUCACUGACUAUGUGGGACUGUGCUACAGAAAGUAAGAUGCAGUAAGAAAAAGCCUGAGAAGUGAAGAAUGGCUGUUAAUUAGACAGUAGUGAAUGAGCUGAGCAGUGAAAAUGUGGGACUACCAUACCUUGAGGAAAAAAUUGUCAGAUAUAAUAGCUUGCACAUUAGUGACAGCAAAGGAUAUCUGCAAAGGAUGGUUUUCUAAAGGUUGAGACUUUAUUCUUGCCUCAAAUUUCCUUACAUAGCAAAGAGGUUUAUCAUUCACCUAUCAUUGUUAGAAAAAUAACUAGGGCUUUGCAACUGUCUGCUGAACUUUACAGGUGUUUGCAAAGCAUUUAUUUGGCUCCUAAAUGUAGAUGUGUUCCACCAGUCUUACAUAAACAUUAUUAGGAGGAAUACAGUUUCUCAGCCAUAUUUCUCUUUUCAAUGUCUUUGUGUUUGCAAAUAUUUUUCCUGAAAUGUAAAUGGAACUUCCUUGUUCUCUUGCUAGGGUGUAGACUCAACUCUAAUAUUGAAACAAAAAUAGAAUCAUUGUGCCAUACAGUUGAGGUCCCUUCUUUGAGAUCAUGUAAUAAAAGAUAUUUUGUGUGCUGAAGAUUUGACAUGGAAGCCUGAGAGGUAUAAGGAAUAAUGCAAACACAUUUAAUGUAUGCGAUUCCCCAGGCAUUUUUAAUAGGAUUUUUAGGCACAACAUUUUACAUAACCACACAGAAACAGUAGUGUUUCAAUUCUUAUCUUUUAUCAUCAGCAGGAAACUAGAAAAUAGUGCUUCCUAUGCUAAAGAAAAAUUUGCUAGUGAUUACAAUUUUUAUAGUUGAGCUCCCUAUAGAUGAUUUUCUCCACUUGCAAAGAAAGUGGUAGUAACCAUCUCAUAUUUUAACAGAAGAAAUAGAAGGUAAUAGAUCCAUUUGCAUUGCAUUGCAUUUUAUUAGGUCCAGAAAGAGACUCCUCAAUUUUCAGAGGUUUUGUUUACGAAGAUAGUUUCUAUAUACUUGGCAAUAAUUUUAGUGUCUCUGUAGUUUACAAGCUUUCAAAAAGUCUAUGAUUGAUAAUGUUCCACACAUACAACAAUGAAACUGCUCUAGAGAAAACUUUUCUCUUCUUCUUGCUCCUAAUUUAAGUGAAUAGCUAACUUUUAAAUGCAUGAAACUCUGAUUAUAAAGUUUAAUCCAAAAGGAAUGUGAUUUUGCUAAUGAAAUUUGGUGUCCACAAAGAGAAAUGUGUUCUGUUGGAAAAUUCAGACAUCCAAGAAUUACUAAACAUCCUGCAGAAAAUAGACUGAGAAUCUCUAAGACUUAGUUUAACCCUGCACCUUGCAAAUGUAGAAAAUUUGUAUUAUUUGUAAAAUUAUGGAGGAGCCAAGAAAUAUAGAAAAUUCAUUUGCAGAGAUAAAAACUGAGCUAAAGGCAAUAAUGAGCAGAAUGAAUAAUGCAGAGGAAUGAAUUAGUGACAUGGAAGAUAAAAUAAUGGAAAUCACCCAAUCAGGACAGCAGACAGAAAACAAAAUGAAAAGACAUGAAAGCAAUAUAAGAGACCUAUGGGAUAAUAUAAAGUGGGCCAAUCUACACAUAAUAGGAAUUACAGAGGAGAAGAAAAAGGAAAGGGAAUUGAAAAUAUAUUUGAAGAAAUUAUGGCUGAAAACUUUCCAAAUCUAAAGGAAAUUGAUCAAGAUACAGGAAGUACAGAGGACCCCAAAUAAGCUGAACCCAAACAGGCCCACACCAAAACACAUUAUAAUAAAAAUGACAAAAGUUAAAGAAAAGAUUCUAAAGGCAGCAAGAGAAAACCAAAGUGUUAAGGGAACCCCCAUAAAGCUAUCAACUGAUUUCUCUACAGAAACACUACAGGCCAGAAGGGAGUGGCAAGAUAUAUUUAAAGUGUUAAAGGAAAAAAUUUGCAACCUAGAAUACUCUACCCAGCAAGGAUAUCAUUUAAAAUAGAAGGGGAAAUAAAGAAUUUCUCCAACAAACAAAAGCUAAAAGAGUACAGCAAUAUGAAAUCCAUUCUGAAAGAAAUAUUGAAAGGGCUCCUCUAAAUUAAAAAAAAAAAAAGUGAGAAGAAUUAGAUGGAGGAAACCACAAUUGGAAAGCAAUCAUUUUAAUAAGCCAACAUACAGAUCUAAACAUGAAGAUGUUAAAAAAAAGACAUAAAAACAUCAAAAUCAUACAAUGUGGGGAAGGAAAGUAAUAAAAUAUAGAUUCUUUUUUGAUUUUAAUGAUGUGUUUGAAAGUAAGAAGAUAUAGGAAGGGGUUAACAUACUUAAAAAACAGGGCAACCACAAAUCAAAACUGAACAUUACAUUCACAAAAACUGAAAA